Molecule: ribosomal RNA, 240 nt
Filed under: uncultured Lactobacillus sp.
Lineage: Bacteria; Bacillati; Bacillota; Bacilli; Lactobacillales; Lactobacillaceae
Description: partial 16S ribosomal RNA
Rfam family: Bacterial small subunit ribosomal RNA
Source: RNAcentral
UAACCUGCCCAAGAGAUCGGGAUAACACCUGGAAACAGAUGCUAAUACCGGAUAACAACAGAUGAUGCCUAUCAACUGUUUAAAAGAUGGUUCUGCUAUCACUCUUGGAUGGACCUGCGGUGCAUUAGCUAGUUGGUAGGGUAACGGCCUACAAAGGCGAUGAUGCAUAGCCGAGUUGAGAGACUGAUCGGCCACAUUGGGACUGAGACACGGCCCAAACUCCUACGGGAGGCAGCAGGC